This 253-nucleotide ribosomal RNA is filed under the name uncultured bacterium. Its description in RNAcentral is "partial 16S ribosomal RNA". It matches the Rfam family "Bacterial small subunit ribosomal RNA", at positions 524 to 776 of the family's 1533-position model. The record is from RNAcentral.
UACGUAGGAUCCGAGCGUUAUCCGAAUUUACUGGGCGUAAAGCGCGUGCAGGCGGUCUGAUAAGUUGGAUGUGAAAGCUCCUGGCUCAACUGGGAGAGGCCGUUCAAAACUAUCAGACUAGAGGGCGGUAGAGGGAGGUGGAAUUCCCGGUGUAGUAGUGAAAUGCGUAGAUAUCGGGAGGAACACCAGUGGCGAAAGCGGCCUCCUGGACCGUUCCUGACGCUCAGACGCGAAAGCUAGGGGAGCAAACGGG